UACAGAGGGGGCAAGCGUUGUUCGGAAUUACUGGGCGUAAAGGGCGCGUAGGCGGCCUGUUAAGUCGGCUGUGAAAUCCCCGGGCUCAACCCGGGAACUGCGUCCGAUACUGGCAGGCUUGAAUUCGGGAGAGGGAUGCGGAAUUCCAGGUGUAGCGGUGAAAUGCGUAGAUAUCUGGAGGAACACCGGUGGCGAAGGCGGCACCCUGGACCGAGAUUGACGCUGAUGCGCGAAAGCCAGGGGAGCAAACGGG
Molecule: ribosomal RNA, 253 nt
Filed under: uncultured bacterium
Lineage: Bacteria
Description: partial 16S ribosomal RNA
Rfam family: Bacterial small subunit ribosomal RNA
Source: RNAcentral